This 447-nucleotide ribosomal RNA is filed under the name uncultured bacterium. Its description in RNAcentral is "SSU rRNA". It matches the Rfam family "Bacterial small subunit ribosomal RNA", at positions 26 to 518 of the family's 1533-position model. The record is from RNAcentral.
AGAACGAACGCUGGCGGCAGGCUUAACACAUGCAAGUCGAACGCUCGUAGCAAUACGGGAGUGGCAGACGGGUGAGUAACGCGUGGGAACAUACCCUCCGGUUCGGAAUAGCUCAGGGAAACUUGGAUUAAUACCGGAUACGGCUGAGAGGCGAAAGAUUUAUCGCCGGAGGAUUGGCCCGCGUUCGAUUAGCUUGUUGGUGAGGUAACGGCUCACCAAGGCGAUGAUCGAUAGCUGGUCUGAGAGGAUGAUCAGCCACAUUGGGACUGAGACACGGCCCAAACUCCUACGGGAGGCAGCAGUGGGGAAUAUUGGACAAUGGGCGCAAGCCUGAUCCAGCCAUGCCGCGUGAGUGAUGACGGCCUUAAGGUUGUAAAGCUCUUUCGCUCGGGACGAUAAUGACGGUACCGAGAUAAGAAGCCCGGCUAACUUCGCGCCAGCAGCCGC